AUAGGAGGUCCAGCCUGCCCAGUGACUACGGGUUCAACGGCCGCGGUAUUUUGACCGUGCAAAGGUAGCGCAAUCACUUGUCUUUUAAAUAGAGACCUGUAUGAAUGGCCAAACGAGGGCUUAACUGUCUCCCCCUUCAAGUCAGUGAAAUUGAUCUAUCCGUGCAGAAGCGGGUAUAAUAAUACAAGACGAGAAGACCCUUUGGAGCUUAAGGUACAAAAUUCAGCCACGUUAAACAACUCCACAAAAAGCAAAAACUUAGUGGAAUAUGAAGUUUUACCUUCGGUUGGGGCGACCGCGGAGGAAAAUAUAGCCUCCAAGUGGAAUGGGGUAAACCCCUAAAACCAUGAGAAACAUCUCUAAGCCGCAGAACAUCUGACCAAAAAUGAUCCGGCCAAACAGCCGAUCAACGAACCAAGUUACCCUAGGGAUAACAGCGCAAUCCUCUCCCAGAGUCCAUAUCGACGAGGGGGUUUACGACCUCGAUGUUGGAUCAGGACAUCCUAAUGGUGCAGCCGCUAUUAAGGGUUCGUUUGUUCAACGAUUAAAGUCC
RNAcentral lists this ribosomal RNA (553 nucleotides) under Gobio gobio (gudgeon). RNAcentral's name for it is "partial 16S ribosomal RNA". It matches the Rfam family "Bacterial large subunit ribosomal RNA", at positions 1845 to 2596 of the family's 2925-position model. Lineage: Eukaryota; Metazoa; Chordata; Actinopteri; Cypriniformes; Gobionidae. The record is from RNAcentral.